Molecule: ribosomal RNA, 700 nt
Filed under: uncultured bacterium
Lineage: Bacteria
Description: bacterial SSU rRNA
Rfam family: Bacterial small subunit ribosomal RNA
Source: RNAcentral
AGUCGAGGGGCAGCAUGGUCUUAGCUUGCUAAGGCCGAUGGCGACCGGCGCACGGGUGAGUAACACGUAUCCAACCUGCCGUCUACUCUUGGACAGCCUUCUGAAAGGAAGAUUAAUACAAGAUGGCAUCAUGAGUCCGCAUGUUCACAUGAUUAAAGGUAUUCUGGUAGACGAUGGGGAUGCGUUCCAUUAGAUAGUAGGCGGGGUAACGGCCCACCUAGUCUUCGAUGGAUAGGGGUUCUGAGAGGAAGGUCCCCCACAUUGGAACUGAGACACGGUCCAAACUCCUACGGGAGGCAGCAGUGAGGAAUAUUGGUCAAUGGGCGCAGGCCUGAACCAGCCAAGUAGCGUGAAGGAUGACUGCCCUAUGGGUUGUAAACUUCUUUUAUAAAGGAAUAAAGUCGGGUAUGUAUACCCGUUUGCAUGUACUUUAUGAAUAAGGAUCGGCUAACUCCGUGCCAGCAGCCGCGGUAAUACGGAGGAUCCGAGCGUUAUCCGGAUUUAUUGGGUUUAAAGGGAGCGUAGAUGGAUGUUUAAGUCAGUUGUGAAAGUUUGCGGCUCAACCGUAAAAUUGCAGUUGAUACUGGAUAUCUUGAGUGCAGUUGAGGCAGGCGGAAUUCGUGGUGUAGCGGUGAAAUGCUUAGAUAUCACGAAGAACUCCGAUUGCGAAGGCAGCCUGCUAAGCUGCAACUGACAUUGA